RNAcentral lists this microRNA precursor (131 nucleotides) under Otolemur garnettii (small-eared galago). RNAcentral describes it as "miRNA (ENSOGAG00000030496.1)". The record is from RNAcentral. Lineage: Eukaryota; Metazoa; Chordata; Mammalia; Primates; Galagidae.
CAGUUCAAUGUGAAUUUCAGAUCAACAAUGUGUAAUUUUUAUGCAUAAGUAUGUCCCAUGCAGUAUUUGGGACAUACUUAUACUUUAAGUUAUUGUGUCAUUGACAUGAAAUUCAAAUUUCACUGGCUGUC